Molecule: ribosomal RNA, 449 nt
Filed under: uncultured bacterium
Lineage: Bacteria
Description: partial 16S ribosomal RNA
Rfam family: Bacterial small subunit ribosomal RNA
Source: RNAcentral
AACGAACGCUGGCGGCAUGCCUAACACAUGCAAGUCGAACGAGAUCUUCGGGUCUAGUGGCGCACGGGUGCGUAACGCGUGGGAAUCUGCCCUUUGGUUCGGAAUAACAGUUGGAAACGACUGCUAAUACCGGAUGAUGACGAAAGUCCAAAGAUUUAUCGCCAGAGGAUGAGCCCGCGUAGGAUUAGCUAGUUGGUGUGGUAAAGGCGCACCAAGGCGACGAUCCUUAGCUGGUCUGAGAGGAUGAUCAGCCACACUGGGACAGAGACACGGCCCAGGCUCCUACGGGAGGCAGCAGUGGGGAAUAUUGGACAAUGGGCGAAAGCCUGAUCCAGCAAUGCCGCGUGAGUGAUGAAGGCCUUAGGGUUGUAAAGCUCUUUUACCCGGGAUGAUAAUGACAGUACCGGGAGAAUAAGCUCCGGCUAACUCCGUGCCAGCCGCCGCGGUAA